Molecule: ribosomal RNA, 767 nt
Filed under: Lecithodendriidae sp. PASnailB-4
Lineage: Eukaryota; Metazoa; Platyhelminthes; Trematoda; Plagiorchiida; Lecithodendriidae
Description: SSU rRNA
Rfam family: Eukaryotic small subunit ribosomal RNA
Source: RNAcentral
CGGGUGUCUGGGGCGGACGGCAAGUUUACUUUGAACAAAUUUGAGUGCUCAAAGCAGGCCUAUGCCUGACAAUUCUUGCAUGGAAUAAUGGAAUAGGACUUCGGUUCUAUUUUGUUGGUUUUCGGAUCCGAAGUAAUGGUUAAGAGGGACAGACGGGGGCAUUUGUAUGGCGGUGUUAGAGGUGAAAUUCUAUGAUCAUCGCCAGACAAACUAAAGCGAAAGCAUUUGCCAAGGAUGUUUUCAUUAAUCUGGAGCGAAAGUCAGAGGUUCAAAGACGAUCAGAUACCGUCGUAGUUCUGACCAUAAACGAUACCAACUGACGAUCCGUGGGUGCUCGUUUAUUGACCCCAUGGGCAGUCCCCGGGAAACCUUGAAGUCUUUGGGUUCCGGGGGAAGUAUGGUUGCAAAGCUGAAACUUAAAGGAAUUGACAGAAGGGCACCACCAGGAGUGGAGCGUGCGGUUCAAUUCGACUCAACACGGGAAAUCUCACCCGGCCCGGACACUGUGAGGAUUGACAGAUUGAGAGCUCUUUCUUGAUUCGGUGGUUGGUGGUGCAUGGCCGUUCUUAGUUGGUGGAGCGAUUUGUCUGGUUAAUUCCGAUAACGAACGAGACUUUGGCCUGCUAAAUAGUAUGCCUGUCCUCUGCUCUUGUGCGGGUGGCGGUAGUGGUAGCCUUUCGGGGUGAUACUGCCGUACGCCGGCGAGGGCUGCGCAGGUCUAUACUUCCUAGAGGGACAAGCGGUUUUUAGCCGCACGAAAUUGAGCA